RNAcentral lists this ribosomal RNA (554 nucleotides) under uncultured bacterium. RNAcentral's name for it is "partial 16S ribosomal RNA". It matches the Rfam family "Bacterial small subunit ribosomal RNA", at positions 363 to 917 of the family's 1533-position model. The record is from RNAcentral.
UUUGCGCAUGGGCGGNAAUCCUGNGCACGACGCCGCGUGGGGGAAUGAAGGCCUUCGGGUUGUAAACCUCUUUCAGCAGGGACGAUAGCUGGAAGUGACCGGUACCUAGCAGAAUAAGCGCCAGCGUAUAACUACAGUGCCANCAGCCGCNAGCUAACACGUAGGGCCCAAGCGUUGUCCGGAAUUAUUGGGCGNAAAGAGCUCGUAGGCNGUCUGUUGCGUNUGNUGUGAAAUCCCNGNGCUUAACCCCGGGCUUGCAGNGGAUACGGNCAGGCUAGAGGCANGCAGGGGAGAAUGGAAUUCCCGGUGUAGCGGUGAAAUGCNCAGAUAUCGNNCAGGAACACCGGUGGNCAAGGCAGUUCUCUGGGCCUGUCCUGACGCUGAGAGAGCGAAAGCGUGGGGAGCGAACAGGAUUAGAUACCCUGGUAGUCCACGCCGUAAACGUUGGGCGCUAGGUGUGGGGUCCUUCCACGGACUCUGUGCCGCAGCUAACGCAUUAAGCGCCCCGCCUGGGGAGUACGGNCNCAAGGNUAAAACUCAAAANAAUUGNCGGA